This is a long non-coding RNA of Triticum dicoccoides, 3891 nucleotides long. RefSeq lists it as uncharacterized. The transcript is spliced from 4 exons. Lineage: Eukaryota; Viridiplantae; Streptophyta; Magnoliopsida; Poales; Poaceae. The record is from RefSeq and is a predicted model, not a curated record.
CCAAGCAGUCGUCCGUCUCCUCCGUCUCCAACACAAUCCGCCGCCGCUUUCUCCUCCCAUCCCCGUCUCACAUCCCGUCGCUUCCGCCGUCGGCCGAUUGAGUGUUUCCCGAAUUCUUCGUCCGCCGUCCCUCCCCCCACUCAGGCACGCGUACACCCAUCUUCCUCGCUCGCCUGGUUCCGUGGUUCGUGUACGAUUCAGAGCGGAGUAGGGGAUCAAUUGAUGUCAGGUUCGGCUUCCAUCCAAAACCGGCCACCGGCCAGUCCACCGAGGGGAGAGCCCAGAUUGUCCACGCGAAACCCUAGACCCCGCGCGCGUACCAUCUCCGCCGCCUCGCCCAGUUCUUGCUCGCCUCAGCUCGCGGGGAUGGAGCAGGACGCGCCGCCCGUCCCCUCGCACCAGGCCCAGGACGGCGGCGCCGUGGACGGCUGGGCGCAGAACGAUAGCGAGGCCCCUCCCGUACGGCGCUCAGGCGGAGUGCCCCGAGGUCGUAGAUCCUCCUCCUUGCCGGCGCUUCCGCGGCCACGUCUCCACUGCCGCCUCCGCGUGUGCGACCCUCAACGACGACUCGGUGGGGAGGAGCCCUGCGACGACCUCGACGACGCCUGCUCCCCCGACCACAACCACUGCGUCCAAGAAAGCCACAUGGAUUGGGGAUAUGUACCUCGGUUUAGGUUUAAAGGGGCAAUCUUUGAGCAUUUGUAUAUCAACUAUCGAGGAUCUCAAGUUGACAUGGACCGCACUAUGAUCAAGUGCAUUAUGGUGCUAUGAUGAUUGUGACAAAAGAUGUUAGCUGCAGAAGCAAUCACUAUGUCUCAGCUCCAAUAAUAAAAAUCAGUGCACCUGAAUUACAACACAAUUUUUGUCAUCUGGAACUGCACUUAUAAGGUGUUUGGUCUGAAAGCUACACUCCUGAAUACAAUGUGAUAUAAAAGGUUCAUGAAAUCAUCAGGUAUGGAAAUGGUUGACCGUUUUUGUAAAUUACUUAGUACUAUAUUAUCAGUUUGUUUUUUGCAUUAUUUCCCAGUUCUCUUGCAGUACUAUUCAAGAACCUAUCUUCCUGCCUACUAGAUAAAAGAGGGGUUUUGUUUACUUAACAUGGUUGCCUGAUUAACAUAGUCAUGGUUUCUGUUAGUUAUUUUUUCCACUACCGUAGCAACAACUUAUCUUCCUACCUACCAGAUAUACUAUUCCUUGAUUGCUUAGCUCUCGGCUUAAGAAGCUCCACCAUUCUUUUAUAUGAUAUUAGAAAAAAAAUUGAGUUCUAACUUUGUUGAAAGACACACACAGUUCUGAUGUUCUGGGGCCAAUGUUCAUUUCUAGAGGCAAACACUCUCGGAUUUCUUAGUGAACUAUAAUCCCAUCUAGAUAACCCCCCUCGAUAUAGCUCCCUUUAUUUGCAUGACACAAUCUAGCAUAUGACGGCUAUGAUUUGGAUUGUGCGUGUUUCUCCAAAAACUAGGAUUAUAUGCCUGAGAACAAACAAAUAACGUUAUAAACUUACCUCAAAGCCUAUGGGUUGACUGAAGCUUGAUAAAUAGUUUCAAAUGCACUAUGGUCUCAUAACAGUACAAAUAAACUUUGAGGGAAAGAGAACCAUAAGUAUAGGUGACUGCAUAGUAGAAGACGUGUAAUUGUGUUGCACUAUACUGUCUUUAUAGAAGCCGACAAAAUCAGAGACAUCCUAAAUUUGGUUUUCUGUUCUUGUCAGUUAAGAAAAGAAACAUUAACUCUUGGAUUAUCGGUAAGGGAAUAUGCCUUAUUAGCAUACUCUUAUGGUGGUUAUUAUUGCUCAACGUUGUGAGGAAAAAGAAGAAUAUUCAGAAUUUUCUAUUUGUGGUUAUAUCUUUUGGAUAAACAAUAGAAGGGUAAACUGCAAAAAGAAACAUGACGACCACCAGUAGUUAUAUCUUUAUUUUGAAUUAAACUAAAGUUGUCAUGAUAGCAAUAUUUUAGAAUAUUCAGAUUUUUUCAAGAUUUAUGGUGAUUAUCACAUUAACUCUAAAACUGAACUAUUCGUGUCGGGCCAGAGAAGCAUAAUUUCAAUACAAAUUGCAAUUGCUUGGGCAAGAGAAAUCAACUCAAUACUACAAUUUUCCAUAUGAUGUAGUAAGAGAGGGCGUACAUUGUAAACCGAUGUAGGGUGAAGGCUAGCCGCAUCUUUGGCGUGUGGUCAAACCCGACAAGCUGCAACUAUGUGGAGCAUCCACAUUACUGCCACCACAUGCUUGCUAAAACAGUUAAUAUGUUCGUCCCCGUACAUCGGCCACAUCUUCGGCGAGCAUGCUUGAUGGCAAAAUCGGGCAACAAUCACUGCAUGGAUCGAUGAUAUCCCACACGGUCUUGUUUGCAUCAAAAGCGUGGCGCACUUUGGAUAAGAAUACACCAACCAUUUUGGUAAUGGGCAUCUCAACAUAUCUAUUUUGGCCUCAUUUCCCUAACACGCUAGUAAUUGUCUCCUUUCGUGUAUUUCUCUUACUCUCACACCCAAACACUUCAUGAUCUGAGAGAGGGAAUGCCAACAGCCAUGGCGGCAGUGUCCCCUCCGUCCGUUCAUGCAACUUGAGAGGCUCUAGCGAUGACGCGUGAGAGGCAUCGGCGUCACUAAGUUGGCCACCAUCCUAGCCGCGACGACAAUGCGACAGAGCAUAUAGUGGAGGGCAGAGAAAGACAGUUGAGGGAGAUGGCUUAUCAGAAGAAUCCAGAACACGCGGAUGACCGGUGUAGUAGAGAAGAGGAUGAGGGGAAUUACUGGGGAAGCCCAAGGGGACAAGCUAAGUGAGGUAGCCUCAGGUAAUGAACAAGGCGGGGAAGCCGCAGGUGAUGACGAACUUGAUAAAGAAGCCAUUAGAGGUAGAAGAAACUUCAAUCCCUAGGAAGUAGCGAAGAGGACCAAGAUUAGACAUAAGAAAUCCACUAUGACGAGCCUUCACAAAGGCAAAUGUACUUAUUAGAGCCAUUGCCAGUGUUAUCGAGAUAUAGAAGAAGAGUUCAACCAUGAGUUGAAAGGUGGACAAGUGUAGUAUCACGAGCACUCGCCGAAAACUAGCCGUAGUCACCAUCAAGACGAAACGUUCAAACCAGGCAUGAGAGGUUUGGUUAAGGCCAUAAAAAAAGUGACGAAGAAGACAAACCAUGUCAUCAAGAAGAGAAUACCCAGGUGGUGGCUACAUAUAGACCUCAUGCAACUCAACAUUAAGGAAGGCAUUCCUAACAUCAAGCCGAGAGACAGACCAGUGGCGAACAUAAGCCACAAUGAGAAGUGUGCGAAGGCCAUGGGAGCAAAUGCUCAUUGUAGUCUUGGCCAUGUUCCCGAGGAAAGCCUUGCGCCACUAGAUGAGCUUUGUAACACUCAAGGGAACCAUUAGUGUAUUAACAUUAUAGACACACUUACAAGCGAUGGGACGAGCACGGGGAGGAAGAGAAAUGACAUCCCACAUGCCGAUGCGCACAAGAGCAACAAUCUCCUCUACAAUUGCAUGCCGCCAUUCGGGAUGAACAGAUGCGUCAUGAUAAGAAGUCGUCUCGAGAAAAGCGGCGCCAGAAUAACCAUAGUGGUCAAUAGGUGGAAGCGAGAGCUCGAAAGCCAUAAGUAGGCUGAGUUGGAGGUGAUGCAUUGCCAACAGGAGAGGACAUUGUAGUAGAGGGAGAUGGCUCGUCAGAAGGAUCCAUAACACGCGGACCACAAGUGUAGUGAAGAAGAUGAUGAAGGGGAAUCAUUGGGGAAGCCUCAUGGACGAGCCAGGUGAGGUAGCCUCAAGUAAUGAACGAGGUGGGGAAGCCGCAUGUGACGGCGUGUGGGGUCUAUAACAGUACUAUGGGAGGACACACUGGGAUAGGUGGGCAAGGGCAAUAAAUGAGUGAUAAGUGUAUCGGAAAAUUGAGGGAAGU